Molecule: long non-coding RNA, 871 nt
Organism: Ostrinia furnacalis (Asian corn borer)
Lineage: Eukaryota; Metazoa; Arthropoda; Insecta; Lepidoptera; Crambidae
Exons: 2
Source: RefSeq, a predicted model, not a curated record
AACAAAGUGAGAUAUCGACAAAACUUAAAGAUUGGCCGGGACAGGGUCUCCUUGUUGCUGAACCAUCGUUUAAAACGCACAGAUUUAACUCGUCUAUAAGCUCCACAAGAUCACUACCAAAUGAAUCAUUGACUGGUGCACCCCAAAGAGAAUGGUGUGCAUUAAAAUCACCUAAAAUUAACACAGGCGCAGGAAGAGAUAGGAUUAAAUUUCUUAAAAUCGGAAUAACAGAUGAAUCUUUGCAAGAAAUGUAUACAGACAGUACUGAAAUAUCCCCAAUUUUUGCAGCUACUGCAUUCAAGUGAUUAUUAUUGUAGGAAGGAAGUGCUAGUGAUGUAAAUAAGUAAUGUUUUUUAAUCAGUAGAGCGGCACCACCCCACCCAUCAUCUCUGUCAUCUCUCAAGACUGAAUAGCCACGAACUCUAAAGUUAUAGCCUGGCUUCAGCCAGGUUUCAGAGACAGCUAUGGCAAAUGGCUGGUGUUGGUUAAUUAAUGUAAUGAGUUCAAUUGUUUUAGACGAAAUGCUUCUACAAUUCCACUGGAGGAUUUGAUCCAUUUUUGAUAAUGUUAUAAAUAGAGACUGACAAGUUGUUAAUUAAAGAAAUGGCAACGGAGUACGGUAAUGCAGAGUUAACUAUAAUAUUAAUCAAUGAAGACAGCAGAUUAUUUAGAUCCUGAGAGGAGACAGAGUUUUGAAGGUGAAGGUGAUUUGGGAGAACUAGCUGUGACAUCUGAGUAUGACUUAGUGAAUGGAAACUGUUUAGAGGCUUCUAGAUAUGAUACUGUGUUAACUGACAUAUAAUGCUUUAUGUUUUUUUGUCGUAUAAAUUCGGGACAGGUUUGUUCAUUUGCUUGAUGUUUCCCUGCACAA